CUGGGCGUAAAGCGAGCGCAGACGGUUACUUAAGCAGGAUGUGAAAUCCCCGGGCUCAACCUGGGAACUGCGUUCUGAACUGGGUGACUAGAGUGUGUCAGAGGGAGGUAGAAUUCCACGUGUAGCGGUGAAAUGCGUAGAGAUGUGGAGGAAUACCGAAGGCGAAGGCAGCCCCUUGGGAAUGUACUGACGCUCAUGUGCGAAAGCGUGGGGAGCAAACAGGAUUAGAUACCCUGGUAGUCCACGCUGUAAACGAUGUCGAUUUGGGGGUUGAACUUUAGGUUUGGCGCCCGUAGCUAACGCGUGAAAUUGACCGCCUGGGGAGUACGGUCGCAAGAUUAAAACUCAAAGGAAUUGACGGGGACCCGCACAAGCGGUGGAUGAUGUGGAUUAAUUCGAUGCAACGCGAAGAACCUUACCUGGUCUUGACAUGUACGGAAUCCUCCAGAGACGGAGGAGUGCCUUCGGGAACCGUAACACAGGUGCUGCAUGGCUGUCGUCAGCUCGUGUCGUGAG
Molecule: ribosomal RNA, 516 nt
Filed under: uncultured bacterium
Lineage: Bacteria
Description: bacterial SSU rRNA
Rfam family: Bacterial small subunit ribosomal RNA
Source: RNAcentral